UCCUUUCCUCCAAAAACUCCAACCAGCUGAGUUCUCAAAGAUUUAUUGUAAAACAGAAAUAAAAGAAAUAAAACAUAAAUGCAGUUACUCAGCUGAACACAUUCCCUUUGGAAGGUCUUUGUCCCCAUUCCAGGAACCCAUGGCGCACAGAUGCUUCUCUGACCACGUCUCAAGAUGGAAUCCAAAAAUCUUUGUUUCCCCCCUCUCAGGAAAAC
Molecule: long non-coding RNA, 215 nt
Organism: Sphaerodactylus townsendi
Lineage: Eukaryota; Metazoa; Chordata; Lepidosauria; Squamata; Sphaerodactylidae
Exons: 3
Source: RefSeq, a predicted model, not a curated record